Molecule: unclassified non-coding RNA, 310 nt
Filed under: plant metagenome
Description: partial contains 5.8S ribosomal RNA, internal transcribed spacer 2, and large subunit ribosomal RNA
Rfam family: 5.8S ribosomal RNA (bases 1-105)
Source: RNAcentral
GAAAUGCGAUAAGUAGUGUGAAUUGCAGAAUUCAGUGAAUCAUCGAAUCUUUGAACGCACAUUGCGCCCCUUGGUAUUCCAUGGGGCAUGCCCGUUCGAGCGUCAUUUGUACCCUCAAGCUCUGCUUGGUGUUGGGUGUUUGUCCCCGUCUCCGCGCGUGGACUCGCCCCAAAGUGAUUGGCAGCCGGCGUACUGGUCCCGGAGCGCAGCACAUGUCGCGCAAACGAGUGCCUUGGUACGGCGGCGUCCAUAAGCCCCUCUCUCACGCUCUUGACCUCGGAUCAGGUAGGGAUACCCGCUGAACUUAAGC